UGCCUAGCCGUAAACAAUUAAUUUACACCAAUAAGCGCCAGGGAAUUACGAGCAAUGCUUAAAACCCAAAGGAUUUGACGGUGUCCCACCCCCACCUAGAGGAGCCUGUUUUUUAAUCGAUGAUCCCCGCUACACCCGACCACUCCUAGCUAUUCAGUCUGUAUACCUCCGUCGAAAGCCUACCAUGUGAACGUUUUCAGUAGGCCCAAUGAUUCCCGUCAACACGUCAGGUCAAGGUGCAACUCACGGAAUGGAAAGUAAUGGGCUACAAUUUCUAAACUAGAACAAACGAAAGACUAUGUGAAACCAUAGCCGCGAAGGCGGAUUUAGUAGUAAAAAGAAAAUAGAGAGUUCUUUUUAACUUGGCUCUGGGACGCGU
Molecule: ribosomal RNA, 379 nt
Filed under: Papurana daemeli (Australian wood frog)
Lineage: Eukaryota; Metazoa; Chordata; Amphibia; Anura; Ranidae
Description: partial 12S ribosomal RNA
Rfam family: Bacterial small subunit ribosomal RNA
Source: RNAcentral